RNAcentral lists this ribosomal RNA (113 nucleotides) under Serratia marcescens. The record is from RNAcentral. Lineage: Bacteria; Pseudomonadati; Pseudomonadota; Gammaproteobacteria; Enterobacterales; Yersiniaceae. RNAcentral also lists the same sequence under 81 other names.
GGCGGCAAUAGCGCGGUGGUCCCACCUGACCCCAUGCCGAACUCAGAAGUGAAACGCCGUAGCGCCGAUGGUAGUGUGGGGUCUCCCCAUGCGAGAGUAGGACACUGCCAGGC